GUGGGGAAUCUUGCGCAAUGGCCUAACGGCUGACGCAGCGACGCCGCGUGAGGGAUGACGCUCUUCGGAGUGUAAACCUCUUUUGCCCGGGACGAAUUGCCAGCAUUCGCUGGCUUGACGGUACCGGGUGAAUAAGCACCGGCUAACUCCGUGCCAGCAGCCGCGGUAAUACGGGGGGUGCGAGCGUUGUCCGGAAUCACUGGGCGUAAAGGGCGCGUAGGUGGUCUGAUAAGGGUGUGGUGAAAGCCCGGGGCUCAACCCCGGGUCGGCCGUGCCGACUGUCGGACUGGAGUGCUGUAGGGGCAGGCGGAAUUCCGGGUGUAGCGGUGGAAUGCGUAGAGAUCCGGAGGAAGACCGGUGGCGAAGGCGGCCUGCUGGGCAGUUACUGACACUGAGGCGCGACAGCGUGGGGAGCAAACAGGAUUAGAAACCCUAGUAGUCC
Molecule: ribosomal RNA, 442 nt
Filed under: uncultured bacterium
Lineage: Bacteria
Description: bacterial SSU rRNA
Rfam family: Bacterial small subunit ribosomal RNA
Source: RNAcentral